AUUGAACGCUGGCGGCAUGCCUUACACACGCAAGUCGAACGGCAGCACGGGUGCUUGCACCUGGUGGCGAGUGGCGAACGGGUGAGUAAUACAUCGGAACAUGUCCUGUAGUGGGGGAUAGCCCGGCGAAAGCCGGAUUAAUACCGCAUACGAUCUACGGAUGAAAGCGGGGGACCUUCGGGCCUCGCGCUAUAGGGUUGGCCGAUGGCUGAUUAGCUAGUUGGUGGGGUAAAGGCCUACCAAGGCGACGAUCAGUAGCUGGUCUGAGAGGACGACCAGCCACACUGGGACUGAGACACGGCCCAGACUCCUACGGGAGGCAGCAGUGGGGAAUUUUGGACAAUGGGCGAAAGCCUGAUCCAGCAAUGCCGCGUGUGUGAAGAAGGCCUUCGGGUUGUAAAGCACUUUUGUCCGGAAAGAAAUCCUUGGCCCUAAUACGGUCGGGGGAUGACGGUACCGGAAGAAUAAGCGCCGGCUAACUACGUG
RNAcentral lists this ribosomal RNA (486 nucleotides) under uncultured bacterium. RNAcentral's name for it is "partial 16S ribosomal RNA". It matches the Rfam family "Bacterial small subunit ribosomal RNA", at positions 30 to 507 of the family's 1533-position model. The record is from RNAcentral.